This 215-nucleotide ribosomal RNA is filed under the name uncultured bacterium. RNAcentral describes it as "partial 16S ribosomal RNA". It matches the Rfam family "Bacterial small subunit ribosomal RNA", at positions 524 to 737 of the family's 1533-position model. The record is from RNAcentral.
GACAGAGGGUGCAAACGUUGCUCGGAAUCACUGGGCGUAAAGGGCGUGUAGGCGGGAAGGAAAGUCGGGCGUGAAACUCCCUGGGCUCAACCCAGGAACUGCACUCGAAACUUCUUUUCUUGAGUGCCGGAGAGGAAAGCGGAAUUCCUGGUGUAGAGGUGAAAUUCGUAGAUAUCAGGAGGAACACCAGUGGCGAAGGCGGCUUUCUGGACGGA